This is a long non-coding RNA of Gopherus evgoodei (Goodes thornscrub tortoise), 785 nucleotides long. RefSeq lists it as uncharacterized. The transcript has 3 exons. NCBI's taxonomy places the organism in Eukaryota, Metazoa, Chordata, Testudines, Testudinidae. The record is from RefSeq and is a predicted model, not a curated record.
UUCAGCUGUGUUAUUCAUGUAGCUGAAGUUAGGUAACUAAGGGUAUGAAUACACUAGAGGUGAUACAUCGAUCCCCGAAUGUGCUUCCUGUCGACUCCAGAACUCCACCAGGGUGAGAGGCGGAAGCAGAGUUGACGGGGGAGAGGUGGCUGUCGACCCCGCGCCACGAGGACAUAAAUUCUUUAAACAUGGAUGAUAUCACAUACUCUUCCUCAACUUGCUGAAGUUCUUCUCGAGUGGGCCAAACAUCAUGCAGACACGACUGAGGCAAUUUCUUCCAAACAAGGAAGUGAAGAAAGGAGAAGAUGCCCUCUGAAAACAGCAGAGAAAGGGACUGGUCUUCUCAUCACACACAACAUAAAUGAGAGUUUUUAGCUCUAAUUUGCCUGAAACAAUUAACCUCAAAAAACACUCAUCAGAAAAAUAUACCUUCCCAGCAUGUGAGGGACAACAAUAACUGCACUGUCAAACAAGGAAGGUACUUCUAACUGAUAUUCAUAGGAGUUGCUUACCUCAAGCAAUUUGAUGUUGGGAAAGAAAUAAGGUGUCUGAUUUAUGUUAUUGCUGGCAAGAGAAUUGCUCAUUUUCAACUCUAGUCCUCUAACUGCUGACUAGAACACCAAUAAGAUACCAUAUAAUUUAUUUGUAAAUGUCUUCCAGGAACUGUAUUCAUUUACUUAUAUAUAGGGCGCUCAUCACCACAGUGUCUAAACAGGAAAGUUAGUCAUCUGCGUUCAUAUGUGUUUGUAAUUAAAAGCAUCAUUUUAUUAAAUGAGUGAAAUUCA